AAGCUCCAAUAAAGUAGCAUAAGGAACAAUACGAGGAAGGUUAGUAACGAACAAGUAACGAGAAGCAUGAGAAAAUAUAUCUAUAUCGUCAGAAUUAGAGUUAAGCGAGGAAGAACGAAAUCCGGUAACAGAUGGUUUACGAGUUAGUGCCUGAGCUGCUUGCUCAGAACUUGAAAUGUAACUUUGAAUGCCAUUUUGCGGAGGGGAUUCUGAGAGAACAGAAAUGUUUUGUUGCCAUGUACUAAGAGGUUGUCGAUCAGCUGACAAUAAAACAUUACCUGUAGUGAAUACUUUCCGUUCACCAACUCGACAAGCAUCAAUAGGAUUUAAAGGAGCGGUUGAAAACUGAUAGUUGUUUUCGUUAUUAACAAAGUUGGGGAAGAUAUUUUGAGUAUCCGUAAGAUAAUCAAUUGAGUUUGAUUCACUAGAUUUGGUAGCAGAUAGUUGAAUAUUUCUGAUGGGUGAAGGACCACUCAAAAGUAAAGUACUCUUGGGAGGGUAAUGCUCGUUAGUAGAGAGUAAUGGUGAGUCAAGAAGACUUGAGGGCAAAGCAUGCAUUGUUUUCUCCAUAUCAACUUGAAAAGUUGAAUCAGAUGGAGAAGGGGAGGUGAUUGAUAAAGGUGAUUCGGUUUCCAUAAUCAUUUAUGUGUUAAAACGGCAACAAUAAAGCUGGCCGAUAAUCCUUAAAAUAGAUAAAGAGUAAAAAAAAUUACUUAAUGACUAAUAACUUAUAAAACUUUGUUUAGAAGUGGUAAGAAAGGGAGAGAAAGGAACUGCAAAGGAUUAAGUUAAUACAAACUUUAAAAGACCAGAAAGUUGAAAAGAAAGGAAGGGGUUAGAUGGUUGUUAGUAAAUCAAACAAACGAUGAGAAAAUGCAAAAGAACAAAAGAAUAA
This is a non-coding RNA of Schizosaccharomyces pombe (fission yeast), 895 nucleotides long. NCBI's taxonomy places the organism in Eukaryota, Fungi, Ascomycota, Schizosaccharomycetes, Schizosaccharomycetales, Schizosaccharomycetaceae. The record is from the annotation of a GenBank genome assembly.